UACAAAGAAAGCUAUUAAGGGCUAAUGGUGGAUGCCUAGACUGUAAGAGGCGAUGAAGGACGUACUAGACUGCGAUAAGCUUCGGGGAGCCGUCAAGAGGCAUUGAUCCGAAGAUUUCCGAAUGGGACAACCCAGCAUAAUGAAGAUUAUGUUACCCUACGGGGGGCUAACCUGGUGAAGUGAAACAUCUCAGUAGCCAGAGGAAGAGAAAUCAAACGAGAUUCCGUAAGUAGCGGCGAGCGAACGCGGAAGAGGGCAAACCCUAUGCUUGCAUAGGGGGUUGAAGGACCAUAAUAAGAGACUAAAGAUGAUAGUAGAAAUAGUUGGAAAGCUAUAGCAUAGAAGGUGAUACUCCUGUAUACGAAAUUAUCAAUAGCUCAAAUGGUAUCCUGAGUAGGUCGGAACACGUGGUAUUUUGACUGAAGCCGGGGG
This 432-nucleotide ribosomal RNA is filed under the name Malaciobacter mytili LMG 24559. Its description in RNAcentral is "Arcobacter mytili LMG 24559 partial 23S ribosomal RNA". It matches the Rfam family "Bacterial large subunit ribosomal RNA", at positions 1 to 450 of the family's 2925-position model. Lineage: Bacteria; Pseudomonadati; Campylobacterota; Epsilonproteobacteria; Campylobacterales; Arcobacteraceae. The record is from RNAcentral.